GAUGAACGCUGGCGGCGUGCCUAAUACAUGCAAGUCGAGCGAACAGAUGAGGAGCUUGCUCCUCUGACGUUAGCGGCGGACGGGUGAGUAACACGUGGAUAACCUACCUAUAAGACUGGGAUAACUUCGGGAAACCGGAGCUAAUACCGGAUAAUAUAUUGAACCGCAUGGUUCAAUAGUGAAAGACGGUUUUGCUGUCACUUAUAGAUGGAUCCGCGCCGCAUUAGCUAGUUGGUAAGGUAACGGCUUACCAAGGCAACGAUGCGUAGCCGACCUGAGAGGGUGAUCGGCCACACUGGAACUGAGACACGGUCCAGACUCCUACGGGAGGCAGCAGUAGGGAAUCUUCCGCAAUGGGCGAAAGCCUGACGGAGCAACGCCGCGUGAGUGAUGAAGGUCUUCGGAUCGUAAAACUCUGUUAUUAGGGAAGAACAAAUGUGUAAGUAACUAUGCGCGUCUUGACGGUACCUAAUCAGAAAGCCACGGCUAACUACGUG
This 497-nucleotide ribosomal RNA is filed under the name uncultured bacterium. RNAcentral describes it as "partial 16S ribosomal RNA". It matches the Rfam family "Bacterial small subunit ribosomal RNA", at positions 28 to 507 of the family's 1533-position model. The record is from RNAcentral.